Molecule: non-coding RNA, 100 nt
Filed under: Clostridium sp.
Lineage: Bacteria; Bacillati; Bacillota; Clostridia; Eubacteriales; Clostridiaceae
Also listed under: 1 other name
Description: ZTP sequence
Rfam family: ZMP/ZTP riboswitch aptamer (pfl RNA motif)
About the family: Previously known as pfl RNA. ZMP is also known as AICAR.
Source: RNAcentral
UAGUAGUCAUAUGACUGACGGAAGUGGAGUUACCACAUGAAGUAUGACUGAGGUAUAUUGUUUUAUAUGCCAAAAUAAGCCGACCGUCUGGGCGAGAAAG